RNAcentral lists this unclassified non-coding RNA (19 nucleotides) under Chlamydomonas reinhardtii. RNAcentral describes it as "small RNA Cre_2559". Lineage: Eukaryota; Viridiplantae; Chlorophyta; Chlorophyceae; Chlamydomonadales; Chlamydomonadaceae. The record is from RNAcentral.
UCCAGUGAUGAUGAGGAUG